ACUUGUUUUCAGGUCGCCUUUGUUUACUUUGAAAUGGUUAUUUGUUGAAGUGUGCGGCACACUGCAUGUAGACAAUUAUCAAGCAACAUGACCUGUCACCCCGCAAUCACUUUCUUUUUCAAACAAGCUCCAAAUAGCGAUCAACAUUUUGACUCCUAUAUUUAUUCCAAUAUUAUACCACAGUUAAUAAAAUAACUUACUCCUCAAAGUCACGUCAAAGUGAAAGUGUUUUCCCUAGCUCAACAGUGCACUGACGUAAAAAAACAACAAUGUCAUGUACCUGGAGGCAGAAGGCAACACUGAUGUUAAAGUGGUAAAAUACAUUAUUACAGAACUACAUGAUAUUGCGAUUACAUUUUAUUUAACUUAACUAAUAAUAGGCUUAUCGUUUUAAUGCAGCCACAAAACGAACAAAACAAGUUGAAAGGGAGAUCAGCCAAUCAGGGCAAACAAGCUCUUGCCAGAGCAACAAUGUCCAUUACCUAUGCACGUUUGUACAGUAUCGUAAUUUAAUUCACACGACUGCAAGGAAACUACAGAUCAUCCAAGCACUUUGAAAGAUUCAAUUUAACAUCAACUACGAAGAUGCACAUCAGAGUAGAAGGGUAUAUUCCAGGUUUCAGAAGUGAAACAAGGAACGUUUAAGGCAUACUUCACUGCUGUACUUCAGGAAGCCACCAAAACACAAAAAUGGUCAUCUUCAGGACUUCACCCCACAGAAACACAAUUGGUUUGUGUGUGAUGAAAAAAAUAGGAACCCAGUCAAAGUUGCAGACAUAAUGCUGACCCCAUCUCGCCAAAAUCAAGGACAGAAUGCUAUUUUCAUCAAUGAACGAUCCCAAUUGACAUGUGUGCAAAACUUGGCCUUUUGUUACGAUGAGUUUCUUCGUGCUUAGACACAAACAAC
This is a long non-coding RNA of Hypomesus transpacificus, 907 nucleotides long. RefSeq lists it as uncharacterized. NCBI's taxonomy places the organism in Eukaryota, Metazoa, Chordata, Actinopteri, Osmeriformes, Osmeridae. The transcript is spliced from 3 exons. The record is from RefSeq and is a predicted model, not a curated record.